RNAcentral lists this ribosomal RNA (305 nucleotides) under uncultured bacterium. Its description in RNAcentral is "partial 16S ribosomal RNA". It matches the Rfam family "Bacterial small subunit ribosomal RNA", at positions 506 to 807 of the family's 1533-position model. The record is from RNAcentral.
ACAGCAGUAGCCGCGGGAAUACGUAGGGUGCGAGCGUUAAUCGGAAUUACUGGGCGUAAAGCGUGCGUAGGCGGUUUGUUAAGUCUGUUGUGAAAUCCCCGGGCUCAACCUGGGAAUGGCAAUGGAUACUGGCAAGCUAGAGUGUGUCAGAGGAUGGUGGAAUUCCCGGUGUAGCGGUGAAAUGCGUAGAGAUCGGGAGGAACAUCAGUGGCGAAGGCAGCCACCUGGUCCACUUCUGACGCUGAGGCGCGAAAGCGUGGGGAGCAAACCGGAUUAGAUACCCCCGUAGUCCCUGUCUCUUAUAC